GUUUGGAGGUCUUUGGGGCCGCGCCGCGCGGGGGCGCUCUGCCGCUUCGUUUAUGGCGCGGUGAACCGGAAGCGCCUCCACCGGAAGUGCCCCCACCGGAAGCCGGAAGCUGAGGGGUGCGGCGCGGACGGAAGUGAGUGUGGGGCGGGAAAUGUGGGGCGGUGUGCGCGGAGUUGUGGGGCUGAAAGCUCCGCCCCAUCGCAGAGGGGAGGUGUGGGGCGGCCCCAUAUCUAUGGGGCAGGGCGCUAUGGGGCGGGACGCUAUGGGGCACAGCUCUAUGGGGCAGUCCUAUGUUUCCAAGUCAGGGCUCUAUGGGGCAGCCCCACAUGUAUGGGGCAGGGCUCUCUGAGGCAGGGUUCUAUGGGGCAGAGUUCUAUGGGGCAGCCCCACAUCUGUGGGGCAGGGCUCUAUGGGGCAGAGCUCUAUGGAGCAGCCCCACAUCUAUGGGGCAGGGCUCUAUGGGGUAGACCCACAUCUAUGGGGCUAGAGAUCUAUGGGGCAGCCCCACAUCUAUGGGGCAGGGCUCUAUGGGGCAGCCCCACAUCUGUGGGGCAGGGCGUAGGGCUCUAU
Molecule: long non-coding RNA, 570 nt
Filed under: Gallus gallus (chicken)
Lineage: Eukaryota; Metazoa; Chordata; Aves; Galliformes; Phasianidae
Source: RNAcentral